Molecule: non-coding RNA, 108 nt
Filed under: bovine gut metagenome
Description: FMN riboswitch (RFN element)
Rfam family: FMN riboswitch aptamer (RFN element)
About the family: The RFN element is a highly conserved domain that is found frequently in the 5'-untranslated regions of prokaryotic mRNAs that encode for flavin mononucleotide (FMN) biosynthesis and transport proteins.
Source: RNAcentral
UGUCUUUGAGGCAGGGUUCGAUUCCCUACCGGCGGUACAGCCCGCGAGCUUUCGAGCAUGACUCGGUGAGAUUCCGAGGCCGACAGUAUAGUCUGGAUGAGAAAAGAC